This is a non-coding RNA of Bemisia tabaci, 775 nucleotides long. The record is from RefSeq and is a predicted model, not a curated record. Lineage: Eukaryota; Metazoa; Arthropoda; Insecta; Hemiptera; Aleyrodidae.
AUGAACUUUUAGAAUUUCUCGGAAUGCAGUAUGCACAAACAAGCAAAAUGCCUUAUCAUCACCAUCUGCGCCUUACUAAACGGCUGUGCAAGUCAAAAGCCGGAGACAUCAUCCCAAAAUAUCCUCACGGAUACAACAGUCUCAAGCCUCGAGGAUGCCCUCUACGAGUUUGAGAUAAUACCAGACGUAUUAGAAGAUGAGCCACAACACGUCAUAAAAGUGAAAUUUGGAGACAAGGUUGUGAACCUCGGGAGCAAGUUCAAGUUAUGUGACUUACAGCUUCCUCCGAGCUAUGUAUCAUGGAAUUUUGAUAAAGGAGCUCUUUAUACACUAGUAUUUGCAGGUGUCGAUUAUCCUGUUCAUAUGCAGCACCAAUACCGAGAAUACCCUCAUUGGGUUAUGGGUAACAUCCCAGGCGAUAGUUUUCUGGCUGGAGAGACAAUUUUCAGCUACCAUGAUCCUGCUAAGAUUAAUUAUCUUCCUGGGUUUCACCGCUUUGUGUUCACACUGUACAAACAAAACUGUUCAGGACCUGUGAAAUUUGAGGAGAACCUUCCUGCCAAAAGGUUUCCUAUGAUGAUACAGUGAUAAAUUUUGGAAAUAUCAUCAACUACACAUACAUUUGGGAACACGAACCGACGCAUGUAAAGUGGCCAUACGAAGAGGGCGUAUUAUACACACUGAUCAUGACUUCACCAGAUGCUCCAGGAAGAGAGGAGCACAAUGAACGUGAACUUAGACUGUGGCUUGUCGGCAAUAUACCAGGAAAUGACAU